GGCAGCAGUGGGGAAUUUUGGACAAUGGGGGCAACCCUGAUCCAGCCAUGCCGCGUGAGUGAAGAAGGCCUUCGGGUUGUAAAGCUCUUUCGGCCGGGAAGAAAUCGCAUCAGCUAAUACCUGGUGUGGAUGACGGUACCGGAAUAAGAAGCACCGGCUAACUACGUGCCAGCAGCCGCGGUAAUACGUAGGGUGCGAGCGUUAAUCGGAAUUACUGGGCGUAAAGCGUGCGCAGGCGGUUGUGUAAGACAGGCGUGAAAUCCCCGGGCUCAACCUGGGAACUGCGCUUGUGACUGCACAGCUAGAGUACGGCAGAGGGGGGUGGAAUUCCACGUGUAGCAGUGAAAUGCGUAGAGAUGUGGAGGAACACCGAUGGCGAAGGCAGCCCCCUGGGCCGAUACUGACGCUCAUGCACGAAAGCGUGGGUUGGUAGUCCACGCCCUAAACGAUGUCAACUAGGUGUUGGGUGGGUAAAACCAUUUAGUACCGUAGCUAACGCGUGAAGUUGACCGCCUGGGGAGUACGGCCGCAAGGUUAAAACUCAAAGGAAUUGACGGGGACCCGCACAAGCGGUGGAUGAUGUGGAUUAAUUCGUAGCAACGCGAAAAACCUUACCUACCCUUGACAUGUCCAGAAGCCCGGAGAGAUUUGGGUGUGCCCGAAAGGGAACUGGAACACAGGUGCUGCAUGGCUGUCGUCAGCUCGUGUCGUGAGAUGUUGGGUUAAGUCCCGCAACGAGCGCAACCCUUGUCGUUAAUUGCCACUAUUUAGUUGGGACUCUUAACGAGACUGCCGGUGACAAACCGGAGGAAGGUGGGGAUGACGUCAAGUCCUCAUGGCCCUUAUGGGUAGGGCUUCACACGUCAUACAAUGGUCGGUACAGAGGGUUGCCAAGCCGCGAGGUGGAGCCAAUCCCAGAAAGCCGAUCGUAGUCCGGAUUGCAGGCUGCAACUCGCCUGCAUGAAGUCGGAAUCGCUAGUAAUCGCGGAUCAGCAUGUCGCGGUGAAUACGUUCCCGGGUCUUGUACACACCGCCCGUCACACCAUGGGAGCGGGUUCCGCCAGAAGUAGGUAGCCUAACCGCAAGGAGGGCGCUUACCACGGCGGGGUUCGUGACUGGGGUGAAGUCGUAACAAGGUAGCCGUAGGGGAACCUGCGGCUGGAUCACCUCC
Molecule: ribosomal RNA, 1171 nt
Filed under: Dechloromonas sp. FL2
Lineage: Bacteria; Pseudomonadati; Pseudomonadota; Betaproteobacteria; Rhodocyclales; Azonexaceae
Also listed under: 2 other names
Description: bacterial SSU rRNA
Rfam family: Bacterial small subunit ribosomal RNA
Source: RNAcentral